AAAAGAAACCAACAGGGAUUGCCCCAGUAGCGGCGAGUGAAGCGGCAAGAGCUCAGAUUUGAAAUCGUGUUUCGGCACGAGUUGUAGAGUGUAGGCGGGAGUCUCUGUGGAGCGCGGUGUCCAAGUCCCUUGGAACAGGGUGCCUGAGAGGGUGAGAGCCCCGUAGGGUGCUGCGCGAAGCUUUUGAGGCCCUGCUGACGAGUCGAGUUGUUUGGGAAUGCAGCUCCAAGCGGGUGGUAAAUUCCAUCUAAGGCUAAAUAUUGGCGAGAGACCGAUAGCGAACAAGUACUGUGAAGGAAAGAUGAAAAGCACUUUGAAAAGAGAGUGAAACAGCACGUGAAAUUGUUGAAAGGGAAGGGUAUUGGGCUCGACAUGGGGGGUGCGCACCGCUGUCUCUUGUAGGCGGCGCUCUGGGCGCCCUCUGGGCCAGCAUCGGUUCCUGCUGCGGGAGAAGGGGCUCCGGAAAGUGGCUCUUCGGAGUGUUAUAGCCGGGGCCAGAUGCCGCG
Molecule: ribosomal RNA, 506 nt
Filed under: Pichia manshurica
Lineage: Eukaryota; Fungi; Ascomycota; Pichiomycetes; Pichiales; Pichiaceae
Description: eukaryotic LSU rRNA
Rfam family: Eukaryotic large subunit ribosomal RNA
Source: RNAcentral